RNAcentral lists this microRNA precursor (59 nucleotides) under Branchiostoma lanceolatum (amphioxus). RNAcentral's name for it is "Bla-Mir-193-P1f2_pre stem-loop". Lineage: Eukaryota; Metazoa; Chordata; Leptocardii; Amphioxiformes; Branchiostomatidae. The record is from RNAcentral.
CGGGACUUCGCGGGACAGACGGUUCAAUUUUGUAUCCUACUGGCUCUCUAAGUCCUGAU